GUAUGGCGUUUUUUCUCUUGUAUGAAGAGGUCCUAAAGAGCUGCUGACUGCUAAUGGUGGAACUGAAACUAGUAGUACAGGAUCUCAUUCUUUUACUCAGGUGUUUUAUUUCCUCACCUUGUUUCUUUGUGUAGCAGAAAUGCUAAGUCAUGGCCUGAAACAGUGAUGGAGCACCUGGUGGGAAGGCAGGGCCAACCCAGGGGAGCUCAGCUGCAAGCAGUGCACCUGAGUGACCGCAAGGGGUGGAUCCUGGCUCCACCCCUUCCCAGACCUCAUUUAAGGGUUGGCAGUGGAGAUGAGGGUAUCUCACUGGAGAUCCCUGCCUACUUGGAGCCUUCUAAAGGUAAGCAGAUUUUCUUCUUUUGUUUCUGUGUCUACAGCUGCUCCAAUGGGGUUUGUUCUCAUUUGCUGCAGCCCAGGAUUGUGCCACCCCGCUAUUAUUGCUGUACUUUCCAUUGCAUUACAGCAUUAGACUUUGAUUUUUUUCUAGACUGUAGUUUGUUCAAAAGUAUAUCUUCACGUUUGAAAGUCCUCCUUGCAGAAUACAAAUAUUCAAGCAUCUCAAGAUGGUGCGAGCUCCAAAAACAGCACAGGUUUACAACUCUAGAAGAAAACAACUUGUGUUCAUGUCACAAUUCUCAUUCAGGUGUUUUAAAACUUUUCUUUGUAUCUAGUAAUGUGAGAACUGUAAAACACUACUUUGUUAAGGCUAUCAUGGAGCCUGAAGCAGUAGCACAGGAAGAAGGUGCCAUGUUCUGUGGCAUAAUUGGAUGA
RNAcentral lists this long non-coding RNA (774 nucleotides) under Numida meleagris (helmeted guineafowl). RNAcentral's name for it is "lncRNA (ENSNMEG00000018803.1)". Lineage: Eukaryota; Metazoa; Chordata; Aves; Galliformes; Numididae. The record is from RNAcentral.